UACAGAGACUGCAAGCGUUAUUCGGAUUCACUGGGCGUAAAGGGUGCGCAGGCGGUCGUGUGUGUUAGGUGUGAAAGCCCGGGGCUCAACCUCGGAAUUUCGCCUAAAACUAUACGACUAGAGCAUUGGAGAGGGAAGCGGAAUUCAUGGUGUAGCAGUGAAAUGCGUAGAUAUCAUGAGGAACACCAGAGGCGAAGGCGGCUUCCAGGACAAUUGCUGACGCUCAGGCACGAAAGCGUGGGGAGAGAAAGGG
This 253-nucleotide ribosomal RNA is filed under the name uncultured bacterium. RNAcentral describes it as "partial 16S ribosomal RNA". It matches the Rfam family "Bacterial small subunit ribosomal RNA", at positions 524 to 776 of the family's 1533-position model. The record is from RNAcentral.